RNAcentral lists this transfer RNA (75 nucleotides) under Caudoviricetes sp. RNAcentral describes it as "tRNA-Thr". It matches the Rfam family "tRNA". Rfam says of the family: Transfer RNA (tRNA) molecules are approximately 80 nucleotides in length. The record is from RNAcentral. Lineage: Duplodnaviria; Heunggongvirae; Uroviricota; Caudoviricetes.
GCUGAAUUGGCGCAAUGAUAGCGCAGCUGUCUUGUAAACAGCCGGUUCUGGGUUUGAGUCCCAGAUUCAGCUCCA